GACUCAAUCGUUUCAUAUUCGUGCUCAUUCAUUUCAUGUUCGUGUCACGCGUCUUGUGUGUUGUGUUGUGACUUAAUCGUUUCAUCGUUUUCAUUCAUUGAUAAUCGUUUCGUCCUCGUGUCUUCGAUUUGUGUUCGUGUCACGUGUUUUCAUCGUGUCUAUCGUAUCCCUUAAUUUGCUUUAGUUCUUUACUCGUCUAUCGUGACUCUUAGUUCGCUUUUGUGCUCGUGCUUUCGUGUCUUACUCGUAACUCGAUCAUUUCAUUGUCAAAUUUCGUGAUCGUGUCACACGAUCUAUCGUGACUAAAUCAUUUCAUACUCGUGCUGAUUAAUAUCGCGUUCGUGUCACGCGUCGCGUGUGUUGUGUUUGGCUGCUCACGGUGUCAUCUCUAGCUGUCAUGUGCUGCGGGAUCCGUUGGGAUGACAGCCAAAGUGCUUUUUUUGUUGUGUUACAAAAUUUAAAAUGCUCAAUUCUUCGAAGUUUCUUCAAUAAUUUUUAAAGCUCAAACUGACCGAGUGAACUCAGCAUCGGUUGAUGCUAACUAACUGGAAUUUGCUUGGUUUCAGCUUGUGUCACUUUUUUUGGGU
Drosophila sulfurigaster albostrigata is the source of this 587-nucleotide long non-coding RNA. RefSeq lists it as uncharacterized. The record is from RefSeq and is a predicted model, not a curated record. The transcript is spliced from 4 exons. NCBI's taxonomy places the organism in Eukaryota, Metazoa, Arthropoda, Insecta, Diptera, Drosophilidae.